RNAcentral lists this ribosomal RNA (820 nucleotides) under uncultured marine bacterium. Its description in RNAcentral is "bacterial SSU rRNA". It matches the Rfam family "Bacterial small subunit ribosomal RNA", at positions 28 to 896 of the family's 1533-position model. The record is from RNAcentral.
AUUGAACGCUGGCGGCAGGCUUAUACAUGCAAGUCGAGCGCAUCUUUCGGGAUGAGCGGCGGACGGGUGAGUAACGCGUGGGAAUGUGCCCUUCUCUACGGAAUAGCCACUGGAAACGGUGAGUAAUACCGUAUACGCCCUCAGGGGGAAAGAUUUAUCGGAGAAGGAUCAGCCCGCGUUAGAUUAGGUAGUUGGUGGGGUAACGGCCUACCAAGCCUACGAUCUAUAGCUGGUUUUAGAGGAUGAUCAGCCACACUGGGACUGAGACACGGCCCAGACUCCUACGGGAGGCAGCAGUAGGGAAUCUUGGACAAUGGGGGAAACCCUGAUCCAGCCAUGCCGCGUGAGUGAAGAAGGCCUUAGGGUCGUAAAGCUCUUUCGCCUGUGAUGAUAAUGACAGUAGCAGGUAAAGAAACCCCGGCUAACUCCGUGCCAGCAGCCGCGGUAAUACGGAGGGGGUUAGCGUUGUUCGGAAUUACUGGGCGUAAAGCGCGCGUAGGCGGAUUGGAAAGUUGGGGGUGAAAUCCCGGGGCUCAACCCCGGAACUGCCUCCAAAACUGCCAGUCUAGAGUUCGAGAGAGGUGAGUGGAACUCCAAGUGUAGAGGUGAAAUUCGUAGAUAUUUGGAAGAACACCAGUGGCGAAGGCGGCUCACUGGCUCGAUACUGACGCUGAGGUGCGAAAGUGUGGGGAGCAAACAGGAUUAGAUACCCUGGUAGUCCACACCGUAAACGAUGAAUGCCAGUCGUCGGGUAGUAUACUAUUCGGUGACACACCUAACGGAUUAAGCAUUCCGCCUGGGGAGUACGGUCGCAAGAUUA